UAGCUAAAUGCGGAAGAGAUAAGUGCUGAAAGCAUCUAAGCACGAAACUUGCCCCGAGAUGAGUUCUCCCUGAGACUUAGAGUCUCCUGUAGGAACGUUGAAGACGACGACGUUGAUAGGCCGGGUGUGUAAGCGCAGCGAUGCGUUGAGCUAACCGGUACUAAUGAACCGUGAGGCUUAACCUUACAACGCCGAAGCUGUU
This 202-nucleotide ribosomal RNA is filed under the name Escherichia coli. Its description in RNAcentral is "partial 23S ribosomal RNA". It matches the Rfam family "Bacterial large subunit ribosomal RNA", at positions 2746 to 2925 of the family's 2925-position model. The record is from RNAcentral. Lineage: Bacteria; Pseudomonadati; Pseudomonadota; Gammaproteobacteria; Enterobacterales; Enterobacteriaceae.